CUCUCCUGAGGCCUUUGUGCCUUCAUUUAUAAGUCAGGCUAGUCACAGGUCUUUCCUAGGAUUGUUAUGAAGAGACACAAAACGGCAAGAAAAAGCACUGUACUGGUGCCAGGAAGAGUGUCCCAUGAAUGGUCACUAUGACAAUAUACACAAGUGGCCUCUUUCUCCACGCCCCCUCUGUUGAGGGCAGGCACACAGGGCAGGCGCAUGGGGCAGGGAGAAGCCAUGGAUCCAGGUGAGAGAGUGCAGUGACAAAGCAAGUGGAGUUAUUUCGUACUAAUGUUAAGUGGUUAGGAACAAACAAAACUGAGACUCUUGGGCCAGGGUGCUGCAGCGAGGUGCUUGUGGCCUUAGGUUGUUGGAGAGCAGAGGCAAGCCCGCUCCAGGACCUCCAUGCUCCGCCUCCUUUCUGCCUUGACCCCUCACCACUGCGAUAGCAAUGAGCUUUCCACUUUAAAGAGCUUGGGGCUUUGAUGGCAAACAGACUGAAUUUGAACCCUGGCUUGACCAGACCAUUUACUACAUUAGUCUGGGUUGAAAUGACCAGGAAGGGUUUUACAGAAUGAUUCCCCUAAGCAAACAUCCCAGAGAGAAGAAAAGCAAAAGACACACAGCUAAAUGGACAACAGUUCCCAGCCUCGUCACAGGAGAACUCUUUGGAGCCAAGUGAACCCCUGGGUCUCCUUUUUCCCACCCCAUCACUUCAGCGCUUUGAGAUCAAGUUCGAACUCAGUCCCAACACAGAGUGUCACUGCAAAUUGUUUAUUAAAACACAAAGCAAUGGACAGUGAAAAACAUCCUGAUUUUGUA
Molecule: long non-coding RNA, 810 nt
Filed under: Homo sapiens (human)
Lineage: Eukaryota; Metazoa; Chordata; Mammalia; Primates; Hominidae
Description: HSALNT0195996
Source: RNAcentral